GAUCAAGUGUCUUAAGGGCAAUUGGUGGAUGCCUUGGCAUGCACAGGCGAUGAAGGACGUGAUACGCUGCGAUAAGCUACGGGGAGGUGCGAAUACCCUUUGAUCCGUAGAUUUCCGAAUGGGGAAACCCACCUAAGGUACUUGGAAAAUCAGAGCAGCCGGAAGUCGCAAGGCCGACUUGCUGCUGUGGUUUCCAAGUAUCGAUAAUAGGUAACUUAC
This 219-nucleotide ribosomal RNA is filed under the name Mesorhizobium sp. RNAcentral describes it as "partial 23S ribosomal RNA". It matches the Rfam family "Bacterial large subunit ribosomal RNA", at positions 1 to 229 of the family's 2925-position model. The record is from RNAcentral. Lineage: Bacteria; Pseudomonadati; Pseudomonadota; Alphaproteobacteria; Hyphomicrobiales; Phyllobacteriaceae.